CUUAAAUGCUCCGAAUUAAACUUAAUUUUCAUCCAAGUCAUUACUCAUGAGUUCAUGACACAAGCGUUCAACAUGUAUAGCGUUUAGCUCUCAAAUCUUUAUAGCUUCAAAUUUCCCACAAUUUUCGUUUAUAACCUUCCUCUCUUCUCUUGGACAUUGUGUUCGAAGCUAAUCCUACAAAAAAAUGAGUUUAUUGUUAGUACUUAGUAAGGGAAGUAUUUACUUGAAUUUCAUCUAUCGCAAUUUUGGUCAUUUUAAUAUAAAAUUGAAUCUUCUACUGGAAAUUUUAUAUUUUUCUUAAUUUCAUACAUAUUUUGCAGCAAUCGAAGAAAGGACAUGGAGAAAAGAUUGUUAUUUACCCAGAUAAAUAUGGGUUACUGUUAUUGGUUUGUGCGCGAUAACUGAACUAUAUUUAUUUCUUUUUGUUUGGAGUUUGGAAAUAUUUCUAUGCUCUUGGUGUAGCUUCCAAACUGAGAUGUACCUGAGUGGGUCUGCAAUGCCAUGGAGGUUGCUGAACCAAUGUUUUUUCAUGCUGUGGAUGAUCGUUGUCACUUUCCAAGCAGGUUCUUUAUAAUUAAUCAUGUGCUCGACAGGACGACAGGUGAUGCAACUGCAGCUUGUAAUCUUAUUGGAUUUAUGUGCCAAUUUUUUACCAGGUGGUGUAAAAGCAAUAUUAUCAAGUGGUAUAUUUGAGGUGUGGAUGAUGACGUAGGUAUGACUCAAAGUCCAUAAUCAAGUCUUUAAUAAAGAAGGGGGUGGGGGGCUUGUUGCCUAUCCCCUUAUUUCAGCUAUUUGUUUGAUUUUAGUAAUGAGCACUCAUAUUUCUUUUUUUCACCUGUAAGGAUGAGUUGGGUCGGGUUACUCUGAGGACCCGACCUAAGUCAUCCUUACGAAUGAAAAGAAGAUAUAUAUAUAUAGAGAGAGGAGGGGGGAUAUCAGCUUUAAGCCUUCAACUGAGGACUAAUCUUUGUAAAUAACAGAAGAUAUUCUCACAGAGAAAAUGUAUAACUAAACACUUGCUCGGCAAUCUAGCUGAGACUGAGAUCCAUGAUUCAGAGUAGACACUUGUAUAAUAUUGUAAAUUUGUAAGGUCUGUAAUGGAUCUACUUAGAUAAUAAGUGUUGUUAUUUGUUUUU
Long non-coding RNA from Chenopodium quinoa (quinoa), 1136 nucleotides. RefSeq lists it as uncharacterized. NCBI's taxonomy places the organism in Eukaryota, Viridiplantae, Streptophyta, Magnoliopsida, Caryophyllales, Amaranthaceae. The record is from RefSeq and is a predicted model, not a curated record. The transcript has 3 exons.